GGCUUWACACAUGCANGUCGAGCGGUAGCACAGGGGAGCUUGCUCCCUGGGUGACGAGCGGCGGACGGGUGAGUAAUGUCUGGGAAACUGCCUGAUGGAGGGGGAUAACUACUGGAAACGGUAGCUAAUACCGCAUAACGUCGCAAGACCAAAGAGGGGGACCUUCGGGCCUCUUGCCAUCAGAUGUGCCCAGAUGGGAUUAGCUAGUAGGUGGGGUAAUGGCUCACCUAGGCGACGAUCCCUAGCUGGUCUGAGAGGAUGACCAGCCACACUGGAACUGAGACACGGUCCAGACUCCUACGGGAGGCAGCAGUGGGGAAUAUUGCACAAUGGGCGCAAGCCUGAUGCAGCCAUGCCGCGUGKGUGARGAAGGCCUUCGGGBUUBDAAGBAABUUCUBCGVGGAGGAGGABGUGGDACHUUAUACGUUCAUCUAUUGACGUUACUCGCAGAAGAAGCACCGGCKCHVUCCBDDCCHVCVDGCCVSGGDAHDCGGAAGGDBGVAGCGKKUAUCGGRAUUACUGGGCGUAAAGCGCACGCAGGCGGUUUGUUAAGUCAGAUGUGAAAUCCCCGGGCUCAACCUGGGAACUGCAUUUGAAACUGGCAAGCUAGAGUCUCGUAGAGGGGGGUAGAANUUCCAGGUGUAGCGGUGAAAUGCGUAGAGAUCUGGAGGAAUACCGGUGGCGAAGGCGGCCCCCUGGACGAAGACUGACGCUCAGGUGCGAAARCGUGGGGAGCAAACAGGAUUAGAKACCSKGGUAGUCCACGCUGUAAACGAUGUCGAUUUGGAGGUUGUGCCCUUGAGGCGUGGCUUCCGGAGCUAACGCGUUAAAUCGACCGCCUGGGGAGUACGGCCGCAAGGUUAAAACUCAAAUGAAUUGACGGGGGCCCGCACAAGCGGUGGAGCAUGUGGUUUAAUUCGAUGCAACGCGAAGAACCUUACCUACUCUUGACAUCCAGAGAACUUUCCAGAGAUGSAUUGGUGCCUUCGGGAACUCUGAGACAGGUGCUGCAUGGCUGUCGUCAGCUCGUGUUGUGAAAUGUUGGGUUAAGUCCCGCAACGAGCGCAACCCUUAUCCUUUGUUGCCAGCGGUUCGGCCGGGAACUCAAAGGAGACUGCCAGUGAUAAACUGGAGGAAGGUGGGGAUGACGUCAAGUCAUCAUGGCCCUUACGAGUAGGGCUACACACGUGCUACAAUGGCRUAUACAAAGAGAAGCGACCUCGCGAGAGCAAGCGGACCUCAUAAAGUAYGUCGUAGUCCGG
Molecule: ribosomal RNA, 1262 nt
Filed under: Serratia marcescens
Lineage: Bacteria; Pseudomonadati; Pseudomonadota; Gammaproteobacteria; Enterobacterales; Yersiniaceae
Description: partial 16S ribosomal RNA
Rfam family: Bacterial small subunit ribosomal RNA
Source: RNAcentral